AUUGAACGCUGGCGGCAUGCCUUACACAUGCAAGUCGAACGGCAGCACGGGGGCAACCCUGGUGGCGAGUGGCGAACGGGUGAGUAACACAUCGGAACGUGCCCAGUAGUGGGGGAUAGCUCGGCGAAAGCCGGAUUAAUACCGCAUACGACCUACGGGUGAAAGCGGGGGAUCGCAAGACCUCGCGCUAUCGGAGCGGCCGAUGUCAGAUUAGGUUGUUGGUGGGGUAAAGGCCACCAAGCCGACGAUCUGUAGCUGGUCUGAGAGGACGACCAGCCACACUGGGACUGAGACACGGCCCAGACUCCUACGGGAGGCAGCAGUGGGGAAUUUUGGACAAUGGGCGCAAGCCUGAUCCAGCCAUGCCGCGUGC
Molecule: ribosomal RNA, 373 nt
Filed under: uncultured bacterium
Lineage: Bacteria
Description: bacterial SSU rRNA
Rfam family: Bacterial small subunit ribosomal RNA
Source: RNAcentral